This 75-nucleotide transfer RNA is filed under the name Methanobrevibacter sp. RNAcentral's name for it is "tRNA-Thr". It matches the Rfam family "tRNA". From Rfam's summary of the family: Transfer RNA (tRNA) molecules are approximately 80 nucleotides in length. The record is from RNAcentral. Lineage: Archaea; Methanobacteriati; Methanobacteriota; Methanobacteria; Methanobacteriales; Methanobacteriaceae.
GCUGGCGUGGCUCAAUGGCAGAGCAGCUGAUUUGUAAUCAGCAGGUUGCAGGUUCGACUCCUGUCGCCAGCUCCA